AGUAAAAAGAAAAAAAAAAUUAUUUUUGGAAAGGAUAAGUAUUACACGUAGCUUUGAGAUCAGAAUUCACCAAUUUGCAAAUAAAAAAUUAUUUUUGUAAUAGUAAAAUGAAUAAAAAAAUGAAUAGUACAAAUGAAUAGUAAAAAUGAAUAGUAAAUUUUUUUACUAUAAAUAGCCAAGGGGGGAGGCUGAAAAUUUACACCAAAGAACUUAGAAAAAUGUUGAGAGAAGAGAGUUGGAAGAAUUUCUAAUUGCAAAGGGGAUAUUCUGGAAGUUUUCAGAGAGCGAGGAGAUUAAGUCUGUAAUAGAGAUAAUGUUGCAGAUGCGGUUGAAAAAGCUUAGAGAUGAGAGAGAUGCGGGGAAAAACUUUCAGGGAUUUUUGUAAAAAUAAUAAAUUUGUAUUGGGAAGAUUAUGUUGUGUAAAACUUAUAAGUUGAAAUUUCAAUGGUGAAGACUAUAUUGUUUAAAGUUUGAAAGUUUGGUAUUGUACUUUGGAGUAAUUGAAAUAAAGUUUGAUUGUUUAUAUGAGA
Molecule: long non-coding RNA, 530 nt
Organism: Vigna angularis (adzuki bean)
Lineage: Eukaryota; Viridiplantae; Streptophyta; Magnoliopsida; Fabales; Fabaceae
Exons: 2
Source: RefSeq, a predicted model, not a curated record